AUUGAACGCUGGCGGCAUGCCUUACACAUGCAAGUCGAACGGCAGCACGGGAGCAAUCCUGGUGGCGAGUGGCGAACGGGUGAGUAAUAUAUCGGAACGUGCCCAGUCGUGGGGGAUAACGCAGCGAAAGCUGUGCUAAUACCGCAUACGAUCUACGGAUGAAAGCGGGGGAUCGCCAGACCUCGCGCGAUUGGAGCGGCCGAUAUCAGAUUAGCUAGUUGGUGGGGUAAAGGCCCACCAAGGCGACGAUCUGUAGCUGGUCUGAGAGGACGAUCAGCCACACUUGGACUGAGACACGGCCCAGACUCCUACGAGAGGCAGCAGUGGGGAAUUUUGGACAAUGGGGGCAACCCUGAUCCAGCAAUGCCGCGUGAGUGAAGAAGGCCUUCGGAUUGUAAAGCUCUUGUGUCAGGGAAGAAACACCGGCUCUAACACAGUCCGGGAAUGACGGUACCUGAAGAAUAAGCACCGGCUAACUACGUGCCAGCCGCCGCAGUAA
RNAcentral lists this ribosomal RNA (499 nucleotides) under uncultured bacterium. RNAcentral describes it as "partial 16S ribosomal RNA". It matches the Rfam family "Bacterial small subunit ribosomal RNA", at positions 30 to 523 of the family's 1533-position model. The record is from RNAcentral.